GGGCGUGUAGCUCAGCUGGUAGAGCAGGCGACUCUUAAUCGCCGAGUCCGGGGUUCGAAUCCUCGCACGCCCA
RNAcentral lists this transfer RNA (73 nucleotides) under Limimonas halophila. RNAcentral's name for it is "Rhodospirillaceae bacterium Ia16 tRNA". It matches the Rfam family "tRNA". From Rfam's summary of the family: Transfer RNA (tRNA) molecules are approximately 80 nucleotides in length. Their secondary structure includes four short double-helical elements and three loops (D, anti-codon, and T loops). The record is from Rfam by way of RNAcentral. Lineage: Bacteria; Pseudomonadati; Pseudomonadota; Alphaproteobacteria; Rhodospirillales; Rhodovibrionaceae.